GUGUUCACUUAGGCAGCACAUAUACUAAAAUAGGAACAAUGGAGAGAUUAACAUGGUCCCUGGGCAAGGCUGAUACACAGAUUCAUUGUGUUCCAUAUUUUU
RNAcentral lists this small nuclear RNA (102 nucleotides) under Catagonus wagneri (Chacoan peccary). The record is from RNAcentral. Lineage: Eukaryota; Metazoa; Chordata; Mammalia; Artiodactyla; Tayassuidae.